CAAAACUCAAAAGCGAGUGGGAGCUGAGCAUGUGGCACACGAUUGUAAUUCCCAGGACUUGGGAAACUGAGGCAGAAAGAUCCUGAGUUCAAGCCCAGUCUGGGCUACAUAGAGAAUUCAAGUUCAGCCUGGACUACAUAGCAUGACCCUGUCUCAAAAGUCGGGCAUGAUGGCACACACUUAUAAUCCCAGCACUUGAGAGGCUGAGGCAGGAGGAUCUCACUGAGAGUUUGAGGCCAACCUGGGCUAUAUAGUGAGUUCGAGGCCAGCCUGGACUACAUGUGUGACUAUGUUGAGGUGGCCGUGCUUUGAGGAAACCCAACUGAUGGACAGAGGUUGUGUAGGCAUUACAGUUGACAAUCCCUGCGGAGCUCAUCCUUUGAGUUUUCUCAGCCCUGAUGCCAGAUUGUAAGUGAAGAAGUUCUAAAGGAUUCUAUCUCACAACUUUCAAGUCAAGUCACCUUUUUAGGCUUUCCAAAUCCUAUAGAGAAGAGACCAACUCUCCCCAGCUGUGUCCUGUCCAAAUUUCUGACUCAAGAUCC
Long non-coding RNA from Heterocephalus glaber (naked mole-rat), 542 nucleotides. The record is from Ensembl. NCBI's taxonomy places the organism in Eukaryota, Metazoa, Chordata, Mammalia, Rodentia, Bathyergidae.